GGCUGGUUAGACAUGUUGAUAUGCUGACCUAAAUUUGAUCAAUCGGAUAUCAGAUCUGCUAUUUAGAAGAGAUCUAAACCUAAAUCUUCUCACUAAAUAUUAAGUCUAGAAGUCUUCCAUUAUUGUAAAGAUACGGGUGUCUUCCUAGUGUUGAUUGUUCUCGGCUAGUUACAGUGGUUUGAUUGUAUCAAAAAGGUACAACCACUCUAUUGACAUUUGAUGUCUCGAGUUAGAGAUGGGGUUGGGCUCAAUAACUGUUAGAUGA
This 265-nucleotide long non-coding RNA is filed under the name Elaeis guineensis (African oil palm). Its description in RNAcentral is "long non-coding RNA (EGUI_LNC074589)". Lineage: Eukaryota; Viridiplantae; Streptophyta; Magnoliopsida; Arecales; Arecaceae. The record is from RNAcentral.